Molecule: long non-coding RNA, 1141 nt
Filed under: Struthio camelus australis
Lineage: Eukaryota; Metazoa; Chordata; Aves; Struthioniformes; Struthionidae
Description: lncRNA (ENSSCUG00000002968.1)
Source: RNAcentral
CCCCCCAAAAAAAAAAAAAGAAAGCAAGAAAUGGCUAUUACUACCGCUAAAACUCAAAAGUCACAAUUUGGGCAACAUUUCCCCGUCGAUCUUUUCCCCUUCUGCCCUUCACUGGCAGCUUCUGCUCCAGCUGCAGGAGCACCCGCCGGCCCGCGCACCCCAGGUACGUCACAGCUUCCCCGGGGAGCUGGCACCAUCCUACCCCCUGGCACCUGCCUACGCCAAGGCCCUGCCUGGCUCAGGAGCACGAGCCCUGCAAGUAACUCCCCUGCCUGAAGAUAAAAGAUGCUGUCUUACAUUUCUAGUUGCUUUGAACAUCCCAGGCUACAAAAGCAUAGAUUUCUCAAACAGUAUCUUCUGGUUCCACCUUAGGUGCUUGAAAAGAAUAAAUAGGAGUAGAGCAAAGAAUAUAGGAAAAUCCCUGUUAGGUGUUUUCUGGGUGCGCAGAGGGACAGCUCUGGGCAUUAGCAGUAAAAUGAGUUUACUUUCCUCUUGGAAAUUCCAGCAGUGGAUUCUGACUAUGUUGCUGCCACAGCAACUGCCCCUGAAACCAGAGCAUCCUGCCUACCGGCGAGCAGGCAGCGUCUUCCGGCCGCACGGACUGCGGGGCCGGUACUCUUACCAACACCCGGAACCGCUUUGCCUUCGUAGGGUUUUCUAACUCUGUACGGUGCUCUCUGAUCUGCUACAUCCCUAUGUAGAAACCGAAACCGAUGAUCUUAUAUGAGUACUGACUCACUUUGCAUGGAAAUAAUGUCACAUGAUGCCCAUGCUGAAGCUCAACGCUCUCACCCACUCUGCAGAAUAACGUUUUACCCCUAUAUCAUGUUUUAUAGCUAUUGGCAAAAGUUAGCCAACAUCCAACUGUGGCAGGAAAAUGCUAUUAACCUUUUUUCGCAUUAGGGAACAAAAACAAGUUAAAUGACACGGAAAGGCUGCGGAAAGAUUCAGCUUCAGAUCUGGAAGCAGAAUUCAGGAUUUCUUGGAUCUCAGAUCCAGCCAGGAUCCCUGCCCAUCCCUGAGCGGCUCCAGAGAGAUUCCCGCACUUCUUUUAAAUCCACAUUGAUCGACCUGUCAAACGUGACCCGAAGAUUUACCUCCCUCCAUGCAGCUGAUGCUUUUCUUUCCAAUAUCUUAUUGG